This 423-nucleotide unclassified non-coding RNA is filed under the name uncultured Cortinarius. RNAcentral describes it as "sequence contains ITS2". The stretch from base 1 to 154 matches the Rfam family "5.8S ribosomal RNA". Lineage: Eukaryota; Fungi; Basidiomycota; Agaricomycetes; Agaricales; Cortinariaceae. The record is from RNAcentral.
AACUUUCGGCAAUGGAUCUCUUGGCUCUCGCAUCGAUGAAGAACGCAGCGAAAUGCGAUAAGUUAUGUGAAUUGCAGAAUUCAGUGAAUCAUCGAAUCUUUGAACGCACCUUGCACUCCUUGGUAUUCCGAGGAGUAUGCCUGUUUGAGUGUCAUUAAUAUAUCAACCUCUCAAGCUUUUGCUUGUGGAGUGUAUGGAUGUGGGGGAAUUAUUUUGCUGGCCUUUUAAUGAGGUCGGCUCCCCUGAAAUGCAUUGGCAGAAUGAUUUUGCUGACCGUUUAUUGGUGUGAUAACUAACUACGCUGUUGACGUGAAGCAAGUUCAGCUUAUAAUGGUCCAUUGACUUGGACAACAUAUUUAUUAAUGUGACCUCAAAUCAGGUAGGACUACCCGCUGAACUUAAGCAUAUCAAUAAGCGGAGGCU